RNAcentral lists this ribosomal RNA (207 nucleotides) under uncultured bacterium. Its description in RNAcentral is "partial 16S ribosomal RNA". It matches the Rfam family "Bacterial small subunit ribosomal RNA", at positions 568 to 774 of the family's 1533-position model. The record is from RNAcentral.
UAGGUAGGUGGUUACGUAUGUCUGAGGUGAAAGCCCCGAGCUUAACUUGGGAAGUGCCUUGGAAACGGCGUAACUAGAGUAUUGGAGAGGUUUGUAGAAUUCCCGGUGUAGCGGUGAAAUGCGUAGAGAUCGGGAGGAAUAUCAGAGGCGAAGGCGACAAACUGGACAAUUACUGACACUAAACUACGAAAGCGUGGGGAGCAAACA